UACGUAGGUGGCAAGCGUUGUCCGGAAUUAUUGGGCGUAAAGCGCGCGCAGGUGGUUCUUUAAGUCUGAUGUGAAAGCCCAGGGCUCAACCGGGGAGGGUCAUUGGUAACUGGGGAACUUGAGUGUGGAAGAGGAAGGUGGAAUUCCAAGUGUAGCGGUGAAAUGCGUAGAUAUUUGGAGGAACACCAGUGGCGAAGGCGACUUUCUGGUCUGUAACUGACGCUGAGGCGCGAAAGCGUGGGGAGCAAACAGG
Molecule: unclassified non-coding RNA, 253 nt
Filed under: uncultured Caryophanales bacterium
Lineage: Bacteria; Bacillati; Bacillota; Bacilli; Caryophanales
Description: uncultured Bacillales bacterium contains 16S-23S intergenic spacer region
Rfam family: Bacterial small subunit ribosomal RNA
Source: RNAcentral